Antechinus flavipes (yellow-footed antechinus) is the source of this 2530-nucleotide long non-coding RNA. RefSeq lists it as uncharacterized. The record is from RefSeq and is a predicted model, not a curated record. NCBI's taxonomy places the organism in Eukaryota, Metazoa, Chordata, Mammalia, Dasyuromorphia, Dasyuridae. The transcript has 3 exons.
AGUCUCUCUGAGAAGUAGGUGAUCAGUCUGAGGUCAGCUCCAAGAGCCUGAGUUAAGACCAUCAGGGUCUGGCCCUGUCUUUCAUCUAUAUACAGAGUGAAAGAGCCAGGGCAGAAGCCAGUUUGGUUUUCAGGGUCUUAAAAGCCUUGGCCUGAUCAGGCCCCUGAAUAGAAUCUUAGAGGGGCUUGGCAAUAAUCCCCAAAUUAGGAAUCCAAAUUCUGCUGAAACCAGCCACGUCCAGGAAAGUGCAUAGCUGUUUCUUCGAGGCAGGUUCUGGGAGAGGUUAGAUUGUCUCCUCUCCUCUGUGAGAGAAUAGGAGGUGGGAAUUAAUUCAUGGCCCAAAUAUUUGACAGACUGGCAGGCAAUGUGGGCUUUGGGUAAGGAGACCCUGUGGCUCUUAGAGGCCAGAAAAUUAAGAGUUUUAUGGCUGCAUCUAGGGCAGCCUCUCGGGUGGGGCUGCAGAUCAAAAUAUCAUCCACAUACUGGAUGAGACUGCUGUUAAGCAACUCCAAAUCCCUUAAAUCUUUAGCCAGGGCCUGUCUGAAUACAUGUGGACUAUCUUGGAAGCCCUGCGGCAAAACUGUCCACUUUAAUUGGUGGGGAUGUUCUUCUGGCUUUGCGCAUUCAAAAGCCAAAAAAAAUUGUGAAUUUUUAUGCAAAGGUAUACAAAAGAAGGCAUCUUGAAGAUCUAGAGUGGAAAAUCACUUUGUGUGCCCUGGGAUCUGAGUAUGGAUUAAGACUGGGACAGUAUGAGUAGCUUGCCCAGACAGAGGAAUCUAUUUCCUCCUAGAUUUCAGAGGGAACAUGGGAGGGCUUUGAUAGAAGCACAGAAAGGUCACCUGAGGUCUGAGAAGGGAAAAUUGGGUCCCAAUUUCACCAUUAAAUCAUGCCCCAAUAAGGGAGCAGGAGAGGAGGAAAUAAUAAGAAAGGAGUGUUUAAAUAACAGGUCACCAAACUGUCAAGGCAGAGGGAAGGUCUCAAAACAAAUCAUAAGUUUCCCUUCAUCCUCAUUAUUCUGGUCUCUGAGACCAGAUUGUUGAAGCAAGACAGAAAGAGAGGCCCCGUAUCAAAAAGAAAUUCAACAUUCUUACGGCCACAUCUAAAGAUACCCAGGGUUUGGCUGUCAUGAUGGAGCAAGGGGGAGCCUGGCUGAACCCUGGGUCCUGUCACUCCAGGUCUUGAGGAUGCCCAAGGAUAAGGCAUGGGGUGGUGGCAGCUCUACCCCUCUCCGGCAGUCUCUUGCCCAGUGCCCCUCCUGGUUGCACUUGGGGCAGGGGCCAGGGGGUUUCCUCCAAGCACAGUUGUGAGCCCGAUGGUCCUGUCCAUCGUACCCAAAGCAUGAACCCCUAUGGUUCUCAAAGGGUAGCCCUAACAUUUGGACUUUGUUCUUUGUUUCUUGUUCUGACUCUGUGGUCUUCCUCCUCUGCUGCAGUGGUCCCUAUUAUUAAAGACUACAAAAGCUGUUUCUAACAGUUGAGUCUGGGAAGUUUGCGGGCCCGAGGCUAAUUUCUGCAGAUUGUCUAAUAAUAUCCAUGCUGAGGAAAAUGGUCCCCUCUGGGUCUUGUGAUUUCAAAUCAAUAGAGGCAGACUUGCACAAAAUCUCUCUUCCAGAAUCUCUAACUUCCAGUCACAGGACAAAAAUCAAGACAGCUGGUGACGGGCCUUCCGGACUGGCGGAAACAUCAAGCCUAUUAUUCUGCUUCCAAGAUUUCAGUGGCUUGAGAGAGAUGGAAAGAAUCCCAGCCUGAUGGUCUUAAAGACUGAAUAUGCAUUUACAUAUCACAUGUUGUGUGCUAGUUCUUUGCACAGGUAUAGAGUUCCUGGCCUUGAAAGCUUGAGCCUCAGGGACCUGGGAGUCAGGAUUCCAGAUUGGAUGAAAGCAGAUCCUGAGAAGCUUGAGUGCUGAGGCAAAACUCCACGGGGACUUUAAACUUGGAAUUGCUGGGACUAUCUUAUAUGGGAAUGGAGUGAAGUUGUGAACCUAAUUCCUCUCUCCAGAUUCUAAGGAAUGACCAGCAGGAUGAAUACAGAGAGGCUUGGAGAGACCUACAUGGACUGAUGCUAAGUGAGAUGAGCAGAACCAGGAGGUCAUUAUACACUUUGACAACGAUAUUGUAUGAGGAUGUAUUCUGAUGGAAGUGGAUUUCUCUGACAAAGAGACUUAACUGAGUUUCAUUGGAGAAAUGAUGGACAGAAACAGCUACACCCAAAGAAGGAAUACUGGGAAAUGAAUGUGAACUAUUUGCAUUUUUGAUUUUCUUCCUGAGUUAUUUUUACCUUCUGAAUCCAAUUCUCCCUGUGCAACGGGAGAACUGUUCGGUUCUGCAAAUAUGUAUUGUAUCUAGGAUAUACUGCAACAUAUUUAACAUAUAUAGGACUGCUUGCCAUCUUGGGGGGGGGAGGAGGGAGGGAGGGGAAAAAACGAAACAUAAGUGAUUGCAAGGGAUAAUGUCGUGUAAAAAUUAUCCUGGCAUGGAUUCUGUCAAUACAAAGUUAUUAUUAAAUAAAAUAAAAUUUAAAAAAAAAAUAA